AGAGUUUGAUCCUGGCUCAGGACGAACGUUGGCGGCGUGCUUAACACAUGCAAGUCGAGCGGUUGAGAGGUGGGAGUUGAGAAGUUAGAAGUGGGAGAAAGGACGGGUGAGUAACGCGUGGAUAAUCUGCCUGUAAGACAGGGAUAACGCCGGGAAACCGGUGCUAAUACCCGAUAACCUCUUUGAAUCGCAUGAUUUGAAGAGAAAAGGUGGCCUCUUUACAAUGCUACCACUUACAGAUGAAUCCGCGUCCCAUUAGCCAGUUGGUGGGGUAAAGGCGAUCGGUAGCCGAACUGAGAGGUUGAUCGGCCACAUUGGGACUGAGACACGGCCCAGACUCCUACGGGAGGCAGCAGUGGGGAAUAUUGCGCAAUGGGCGAAAGCCUGAUCCAGCCAUGCCGCGUGCAGGAUGAAGGCCUUCGGAUUGUAAANNNNNNNNNNGGGGGACGAAACAACUGAAGGUACCGUAAGAAUAAGCAUCGGCUAACUACGUGCCAGCAGCCGCGGUAAUACGUAGGUGGCAAGCGUUAUCCGGAAUUAUUGGGCGUAAAGGGUGCGUAGGCGGUUUAUUAAGUUCUGAGGUGAAAGUGCGGGGCUCAACCCCGUAUGGCCAUAGAAACUGAUAGACUUGAGUGCAGGAGAGGGCAAUGGAAUUCCAUGUGUAGCGGUAAAAUGCGUAGAUAUAUGGAGGAACACCAGUGGCGAAGGCGGUUGCCUGGCCUGUAACUGACGCUGAGGCACGAAAGCGUGGGGAGCAAAUAGGAUUAGAUACCCUAGUAGUCCACGCUGUAAACGAUGAAUACUAAGUGUUGGAGAAAUUCAGUGCUGCAGUGCCGCAGCUAACGCAAUAAGCACUCCGCCUGGGGAGUACGGUCGCAAGACUGAAACUCAAAGGAAUUGACGGGGGCCCGCACAAGCGGUGGAGUAUGUGGUUUAAUUCGACGCAACGCGAAGAACCUUACCAAGGCUUGACAUCCUGUGACAGCUAUAGAAAUAUAGACUUCUUAGUUUACUAAGACACAGAGACAGGUGGUGCAUGGUUGUCGUCAGCUCGUGUCGUGAGAUGUUGGGUUAAGUCCCGCAACGAGCGCAACCCCUACAGCUAGUUGCCAGCACAUAAAGGGUUGGGCACUCUAAAGAGACUGCCGGUGUCAAACCGGAGGAAGGUGGGGAUGACGUCAAAUCAUCAUGCCCCUUAUGUCUUGGGCUACACACGUACUACAAUGGCCUGAACAGAGGGAAGCGAAACUGCGAAGUUAAGCGAAUCCCUUAAAACAGGUCCCAGUUCGGAUUGUAGGCUGCAACUCGCCUACAUGAAGUCGGAAUCGCUAGUAAUCGCAGGUCAGCAUACUGCGGUGAAUACGUUCCCGGGCCUUGUACACACCGCCCGUCACACCACGAAAGUCGGCAACACCCGAAGCCGGUGACUCAACCCGAAAGGGAGAGAGCCGUCGAAGGUGGGGUUGGUAAUUGGGGUGAAGUCGUAACAAGGUAACC
Molecule: ribosomal RNA, 1497 nt
Filed under: uncultured bacterium
Lineage: Bacteria
Description: bacterial SSU rRNA
Rfam family: Bacterial small subunit ribosomal RNA
Source: RNAcentral